Molecule: long non-coding RNA, 1284 nt
Organism: Pungitius pungitius (ninespine stickleback)
Lineage: Eukaryota; Metazoa; Chordata; Actinopteri; Perciformes; Gasterosteidae
Exons: 8
Source: RefSeq, a predicted model, not a curated record
GCUUCAGUCUCUCUCGUGCCGCUUUCACUGCAGAAGGACGCAAACGAUAGUCCGCCGUAGCUUCAGCACGUGGAUAGAAACAAUGAAAUCUAAUGUAAUGCACUGCGAGGCGUCUUACAUGCUCUUUACGACCAUGACGUAGUCCCCUUGUUCAAAGGGAAGGAAAGCAGAACGCGUUGUGGUUUUUCCACGAUGACAACAUGGUGCUGCGAGCAGGGCACGUGGUCAGACGAAUGAAAGCUGGCCUCACCCUGUGAGCCUCGGUCUCUUUGGCCUGGUCGAGAGUGCCUGGAUGCGGUGAAAACUCUGUAUUUUCAGGCUCAAUGACGAAGAUGUAUACAACUGAAGACACUAGUUCGUUCUCUGGACUUGGCAGUAGUCCUAGUAUCCUACCUUCCGCGAGGCGUGGUCUGCAGCCAUGGUAUCUAAAGCAGUGGGACGAAAUGUACCACCAGUUCGUUCUCUGGAUUGCUGGCAGUAGUACUGGUGUCCUACCUUCUGUGAGGUAACUGGAUGUAACACCAGUUCGUGCUCUGGAUUGCUGGCAGUAGUACUGGUGUCCUACCUUCUGUGCGGCGUGAUCUGCAGCCAUGGUAUCUAAAGCAGUGGGACUAGAUUGAGACUGCUGUCUUGAUCGUCAACAUGUAGGAGGGCAUUGCAGUUGUAACAGCUGCGAGCGCCAACCUCUCAGGUAUGACUGACAGCCCAAGCUGCAUGACAUUCAGACUGAACGGCCAGGCGCUGCUUUGAGUAGGGAUCCGCUACAGAGAUGGACCUAAUACCAAAUCUUCAGGAAACUAAGCAUGAACCAUCUCACAUUGUAUGGAUACAUUGUCAUUUGUUUCUUUGUGCAAAGUUUCCUAAAUGUUUGUAUUUAAUUUAUUUUAAAUAAAAUGAAAUGACUCAAGGAUUUUGUUUCAGUGAUUGUAGUUUGAUUACAAUUAAUAGACAGGCAUUUCCUCAAUUAGUGUUCUGGAUUGAUGACACCACUUGACUAUAAAUAUAUUAAUGUACUGAAUAUGGUAAAAGCAAAUUUCGUCCAGUUGGCUUGUAAAUGGGUAGAAUGUAGAAUUUGAGGCUGUGCAGUUAAUUUCCUGCUUUGAAGACCACUCCCCAUAAUGGCUGGUUACCAACAUGUUUCCCACUGAAGAUUGUCACACUGGCUGAAAGACGGCCUUUUGGCCAAUUUCGGCCUAUUUACAGAAAUGUAUUAAUGACGUUACUGAAUACAAACUCCAUGACUGAAGAAGGCCUACUCAAUGGAAUAAAUAUUGUCUGGAAUCA